RNAcentral lists this ribosomal RNA (253 nucleotides) under uncultured bacterium. Its description in RNAcentral is "partial 16S ribosomal RNA". It matches the Rfam family "Bacterial small subunit ribosomal RNA", at positions 524 to 776 of the family's 1533-position model. The record is from RNAcentral.
UACGAAGGGGGCGAGCGUUGUUCGGAAUUACUGGGCGUAAAGCGUGCGCAGGCGGUGAGCUGUGUCCGAUGUGAAAGCCCCGGGCUUAACCUGGGAAUGGCAUUGGAAACUGGCUCGCUGGAGUGUGGCAGAGGGGGGUGGAAUUCCGCGUGUAGCAGUGAAAUGCGUAGAGAUGCGGAGGAACACCGAUGGCGAAGGCAGCCCCCUGGGCUAACACUGACGCUCAGGCACGAAAGCGUGGGGAGCAAACAGG